Cheilinus undulatus (humphead wrasse) is the source of this 457-nucleotide non-coding RNA. NCBI's taxonomy places the organism in Eukaryota, Metazoa, Chordata, Actinopteri, Labriformes, Labridae. The record is from the annotation of a RefSeq genome assembly.
AAGAGCUCCCAUCAGGUCAUCUUCAUCAUCAGCCAUGUUCUCUGCAGCUCUGAUACUGCUGCUGACAGCUGCAUCCUGUGUCAACAGUAUUGAUCUCAUCCAGCCAGGAUCAAUGGUUGUUCAGCCUGGACAGACUCUGACCAUCACCUGUCAGCUCUCUGGUUACUCUAUCACUGUUAACAGCUAUGCUACAGGCUGGAUCAGACAGGGUGAAGGAAAACCCAUGGACUGGAUCUCUCACAUGUGGGGUGGUGGUACACUUCGGGAAAAUAAUGUUCUGAAGAACAAGUUCAGUCUCAGCAGAGACACUUCUGCUGGGACAGUGACUCUCACAGGACAGAACAUGCAGCCUGCAGACACAGCUGUGUAUUACUGUGUUAGAGUACGCUCCACUGUGACAAAAAACACCAACACACCUGCACAAAUACUCAGCAGACAUGUGAUUCAACAAAAAUAG